RNAcentral lists this ribosomal RNA (579 nucleotides) under uncultured bacterium. RNAcentral's name for it is "partial 16S ribosomal RNA". It matches the Rfam family "Bacterial small subunit ribosomal RNA", at positions 355 to 932 of the family's 1533-position model. The record is from RNAcentral.
UGGGGAAUUUUGGACAAUGGGCGAAAGCCUGAUCCAGCAAUGCCGCGUGUGUGAAGAAGGCCUUCGGGUUGUAAAGCACUUUUGUCCGGAAAGAAAUCCUUGGCUCUAAUACAGUCGGGGGAUGACGGUACCGGAAGAAUAAGCACCGGCUAACUACGUGGCCAGCAGCCGCGGUAAUACGUAGGGUGCAAGCGUUAAUCGGAAUUACUGGGCGUAAAGCGUGCGCAGGCGGUUUGCUAAGACCGAUGUGAAAUCCCCGGGCUCAACCUGGGAACUGCAUUGGUGACUGGCAGGCUAGAGUAUGGCAGAGGGGGGUAGAAUUCCACGUGUAGCAGUGAAAUGCGUAGAGAUGUGGAGGAAUACCGAUGGCGAAGGCAGCCCCCUGGGCCAAUACUGACGCUCAUGCACGAAAGCGUGGGGAGCAAACAGGAUUAGAUACCCUGGUAGUCCACGCCCUAAACGAUGUCAACUAGUUGUUGGGGAUUCAUUUCCUUAGUAACGUAGCUAACGCGUGAAGUUGACCGCCUGGGGAGUACGGUCGAAGAUUAAAACUCAAAUGAAUUGACGGGGUCAUAGCUG